Molecule: ribosomal RNA, 137 nt
Filed under: uncultured eukaryote
Lineage: Eukaryota
Description: partial 18S ribosomal RNA
Rfam family: Eukaryotic small subunit ribosomal RNA
Source: RNAcentral
UGGUGGAGUGAUUUGUCUGGUUUAUUCCGUUAACGAACGAGACCUUAACCUGCUAAAUAGUGGGUUCCAUUUUGAUGGAUCAUAACUUCUUAGAGGGACUUUGAACGUCAAGUUCAAGGAAGUUUGAGGCAAUAACA